AAACAGUUCGGCUUCAUGUCAACGAGACCAUUUCGACCUUGAAAGUGUGUGACUGGAAACCCUCUACAGAAACCGGCGCCACGAUUUGGAUCACGAAGAUCCGGGCAGCAGAAUUCAGGAGAGGUGCUCGCCGCAGAGAAGGGCUCCGACACAAUCAUUCUGGACACUUUGGGAACAAACUGCAUCCAUUUGUUGCAGUUGGGACAUGUGGACAUUCACAUUCCAGCGGUGAGAACGGUACUGAAUGAGGAACGGAUUUCGUUUCGAAUUAUCGACGAAUUUCGGUUGAGGUCAUCGCUCUGCUCUUUCUUGGGGUUCCAGGUGUGAACGGAAAUCUGCCGCGCUGAGGAAAACGAGACGUUAUAGAUAUGGUUCAUAAUGACAAGCUCAUGAAUUCUGUCCGGAUGGAGGGAUUUUAACUACAGCCGCUUCUGCUCCGAUUUUCGGAGCACCAACUGGCUCAUGCGCCAUUGGUAAACAAGGGAACGAUGUCAGUAGAACGCGAAACCCUUGUCAGCUUACAUGCGGCGUUUACACUCAUGUCACUGAGUAAAUGAGCUGGACACGGCGGCUCGUGGAGAAACACACGUGAUGUGCUUUUUUUCCCAGAUGCUUUGUUUCGGAAGUGCUGACCGCAAGCAUCUCCUCAAUUUUCCUGUUAUUUUCACAAAA
This 672-nucleotide long non-coding RNA is filed under the name Scleropages formosus (Asian bonytongue). Its description in RNAcentral is "lncRNA (ENSSFOG00015025578.1)". Lineage: Eukaryota; Metazoa; Chordata; Actinopteri; Osteoglossiformes; Osteoglossidae. The record is from RNAcentral.